Long non-coding RNA from Dreissena polymorpha, 785 nucleotides. RefSeq lists it as uncharacterized. The record is from RefSeq and is a predicted model, not a curated record. NCBI's taxonomy places the organism in Eukaryota, Metazoa, Mollusca, Bivalvia, Myida, Dreissenidae. The transcript has 3 exons.
CCUAAGAUGGCGGCGUUUGACAAAUCAUUUAGUGAACGAACUUGACAAAUACAUUUUAGUAAGGAAUAUAAAACUCAUAAUGUAAUGACAAAGUGGAAUGGGUAGUUGCAAACUUGCUCUGCGGGUAUCUCUAAGAUCAUUGCGUCCCCUGUGCAGUUAAUAUGCCAUUCGGAUCCACAGGAAGUACAGCAAAUCCACUCACUGGCAGCUCCCUCGUCGGAUCGACAACCCGGUUCAUUGCUGUCCAAGCUUCAUGGGGGUUCUUUCAGUUGAUGUACAGAGGACACUUUGGCAAGCAAGGGGCUCAAGCAUUGUAGGCUAGAGAAAUAGAACUUGAGCCAGAUGCUGGACAUUUCUUGACCUCCCUCCUGUCUAGGUAGAAGUGACUGUUAAUGGAAUAGUUAUAUAGUUACCAGCAGAAUUGUUACUCAAGCCGAACACUUGAAACUAUACUGGCCCCAUCCUGUUUAGGUGGAAGUGACAGUGGUUGGGAUAGAUAUCUAGUGAGCAGCAGCCACGAAAUUCAAGCCAAACACUGGACCUGUAUUGGCCUCUAACCUGUUGAGUUGGAAGUGACAGUUGUUGUCUAAUGAGCAGCAAAAAUAGAACUCAAGCCAAACCCUGGACAUGUACUGACCUCCCUCAUGUUGAGUUUGAAGUGAAAAUGGUUGUCUAGUGGGCAGUAGAAAUAAAAAAAUCAAGCCAUACACUGAACCUGAACUGACCUCUUUCUUGUUUGGGUGGAAGUGACUGUUCCUCGGAUAGUUGUCAAGUCAAGAAUUACA